Molecule: ribosomal RNA, 253 nt
Filed under: uncultured bacterium
Lineage: Bacteria
Description: partial 16S ribosomal RNA
Rfam family: Bacterial small subunit ribosomal RNA
Source: RNAcentral
UACGGAGGGUGCAAGCGUUAUCCGGAUUUACUGGGUUUAAAGGGUGUGCAGGCGGCUUAUUAAGUCAGUGGUGAAAUCUCCGAGCUCAACUCGGAAACUGCCAUUGAUACGAUUAGUCUUGAAUUUUGUUGAGGUAGGCGGAAUAUGUCAUGUAGCGGUGAAAUGCUUAGAUAUGACAUAGAACACCGAUUGCGAAGGCAGCUUGCUAAACAGAUAUUGACGCUGAGGCACGAAAGCGUGGGGAGCAAACAGG